Small nucleolar RNA from Neolamprologus brichardi, 72 nucleotides. The record is from Ensembl. Lineage: Eukaryota; Metazoa; Chordata; Actinopteri; Cichliformes; Cichlidae.
ACACAUGAUGAAAACUGUAAAUAGAAAGUGCCAUUGGAUGUGAUAACUAACAAUUUAUCAUGCUCACCGUUC